This 254-nucleotide ribosomal RNA is filed under the name uncultured bacterium. RNAcentral describes it as "partial 16S ribosomal RNA". It matches the Rfam family "Bacterial small subunit ribosomal RNA", at positions 524 to 776 of the family's 1533-position model. The record is from RNAcentral.
UACGGGGGGAGCAAGCGUUGUUCGGAUUUACUGGGCGUAAAGGGCGCGUAGGCGGCCAGCGCAAGUCAGGUGUGAAAUCUCCGAGCUUAACUCGGAAAGGUCAACUGAUACUGCGCGGCUAGAGUGCAGAAGGGGCAACUGGAAUUCUCGGUGUAGCGGUGAAAUGCGUAGAUAUCGAGAGGAACACCUGCGGCGAAGGCGGGUUGCUGGGCUGACACUGACGCUGAUGCGCGAAAGCCAGGGGAGCGAACGGG